UGGGGCUGUAGCUCAGCUGGGAGAGCACCUGCUUUGCAAGCAGGGGGUCAGCGGUUCGAUCCCGCUCAGCUCC
Molecule: transfer RNA, 73 nt
Filed under: Rhizobium sp. Trr-6
Lineage: Bacteria; Pseudomonadati; Pseudomonadota; Alphaproteobacteria; Hyphomicrobiales; Rhizobiaceae
Description: tRNA-Ala
Rfam family: tRNA
About the family: Transfer RNA (tRNA) molecules are approximately 80 nucleotides in length.
Source: RNAcentral